This 77-nucleotide transfer RNA is filed under the name Levilactobacillus zymae. RNAcentral describes it as "tRNA-Thr(cgt)". It matches the Rfam family "tRNA". From Rfam's summary of the family: Transfer RNA (tRNA) molecules are approximately 80 nucleotides in length. Their secondary structure includes four short double-helical elements and three loops (D, anti-codon, and T loops). Lineage: Bacteria; Bacillati; Bacillota; Bacilli; Lactobacillales; Lactobacillaceae. RNAcentral also lists the same sequence under 1 other name. The record is from RNAcentral.
UGCCGGCUUAGCUCAGCUGGUAGAGCAUCGGUAUCGUAAACCGAGGGUCGGGGAUUCGAAUUCCUCAGCCGGCAUCC